AAUAAUGCCCGCAAAAUCAUUUCUUCAUAUACAGUGUGUGUAUGUUUUUAUUUCAAUCUUUUUUUUAUUUUUUAUUAAUAUUUAUUAAUGCUGAUGUAUGGCUCACAUACAUACUUUUUCCUUCUUUUAAGAUGGUGCACUUGGAAAAAGGAAUAUUUAAUUGAGAAGAAUAUUUCUGUCCAUUUUUAAUGUUUUGUAUCAUUAACUCCAGCUGUUGUGGAUCAAGCAGAGGAAGUCAUAUCCUAUCCUGGUAAUGAAUUUACUAUCAUAUCCAAUUAUAUCUUAAAGUAUGAUUUUUUCUUUUCUUUUCUUUUUUCUCCUGUUUUUGGCCAUCAUCAACAGCUACUAACAUGGUGCAGUUAGGAAAGGAAUAUUAUUGUAUUUUCAUAGAAUGAUUAAAGCAUUCCCUAAUGUCUUAAUAGAGAUAACGAUGUAACCAGAUGUAGAAUGAACACUAAUUUUUCUUGUUCUGCAGAUCAAACUACAUCUGACAAAAGUUUAACAGCAGAUGUUAUGGAGCAAGUAGAAGUUUUAUCCUCCAGUCCUGAAGCAUGCUGCCACAAUGAAAAUUGGGAAGGUGAUUCCCAAGAGGAUCCUGCAAUUCCCCUUAUUUCAAAGUCUUAUGAAACUUGAAAGUGACAACAAGGCAUUGUCAUGUUCAUUGGUGCAAUAUAUAGUAAUCUACAUCCUCAACCCUAGUAGGUAUUUGGUAAGUCAAGAUAUUUCCAUUUACAUAGUAAUUGUACAUUUGAAUCUGUUUCAUUAACAAGUAUUGCACAAUAAUAAUUUUGCAGAUAAUGUAUUC
Molecule: long non-coding RNA, 805 nt
Filed under: Penaeus japonicus
Lineage: Eukaryota; Metazoa; Arthropoda; Malacostraca; Decapoda; Penaeidae
Description: uncharacterized LOC122244623
Source: RNAcentral